RNAcentral lists this long non-coding RNA (2140 nucleotides) under Oncorhynchus mykiss (rainbow trout). RNAcentral describes it as "lncRNA (ENSOMYG00000062017.1)". Lineage: Eukaryota; Metazoa; Chordata; Actinopteri; Salmoniformes; Salmonidae. The record is from RNAcentral.
GUAUCAAGAAGCAGUGUGGCUUGGCAGGGUUGUGUUUCGGAGGACGCAUGGCUGUCAACCUAUUUUAAUUUUUUUACUAUUCUAAAAAAGUAUAUUACUUCACUGGCUGCCUGUGGGGUUGACUAGUUGUAUGGAGGUACAACUAUGAGGCUGUAAAAUCGACUGUUCUGAGGUUUGGUUCGGUAUCAAGCCAUCUUAGGCUACCCGUGUGUGUGUGUGUGUGUGUGUGUGUGUGUGUGUGUGUGUGUGUGUGUGUGUGUGUGUGUGUGUGUACAUGCGCGCCCCAGGCCAUGUUACUGGGCCCAGUAGAGAGAGGUGAUGGGGAACAUGACUGGAUCAGUGCAUACAUCACUGGCCUCUGUCACACUCAACACACAAGCCCUGGUACAGGGUAGUCCACACACACACAGGAAGGAGAUCCUACAACUAUCUGGCCCUGCCACAGCACAGUUGGAUGCAGCAGAGCCCAGAGUGACAUUGAGACCUGCGUCUCCUUUACUGCAAUACUCUUCUCAGCUCAACUCCAGCCCUCUGCUCAGGAUGGCACAUGAUUGGCAGGGAGGUAGAAGUAGGAGUCACCACCGAUAUGAGGAAGAUGUUAAGGAGCCCCAGCCAGUGUAUAUUGGUGUUCCGGUAACACACGGUUACAGCAAAAGGAGACGUCGUAAACACCGCUCCCAGCGCGAACAAGAGAAACACCACACACACCGCGGCCAACACGCACACCAUGAACACACACGUCACGAACACAUACACCAUGACAAUCACCAUGACUACCAGGAACACUACAAAGAGGAGGAGGAGCAGGAACAACAUGACAUAUUUGACCCUGACUCCACAGGUGGGCACUCACGCACACGCACACACACACACACACACACACACACACACACACACAGACUUACACAUGCGGACACGCGCACUUUAAGUAGUACACACAUGUGAGAAGUAUAUGACCAGCCACAGUUGUUGCUGUUUUGAGGAAUGAUCCCCUGUCAUUUCCAGGCGUGCUUAUAACUAGCAGCAGGGUUUGUGUGUGUGUGUGUGUGUGUGUGUGUGUAUGCACGCGUGUGUGUAAUGAAUGUGUCAAAGCGUGGUUCCUGUUCCCGUGGAGACCAGCGUCUUGAAGCUGGUAAGCUGAUUAGAGCUGAGGAACUCAAACCCUGGUAUACCACCGGUCCUCUGUGUGUGUGUGUGUGUGUGUAUGUGAUCAAGGGGGUCCACUGCCCCAGUUCCACAGGAGAAAUAUGUCACGUCAUUUUACUCAUCAGAGUAUAGAUCCCGGGAUGGACGGAGGCAAGGAGAAGAACCCGGACACAAAAGGGGAAGGAAGGGGCGUACAGACAAAAGUGGAGUGAAGUUGAUGUAGUUGUUGUGUGCACGCAUGUGUGUCACAGGGUUAAGGGUACUUGAGGCUGCUGCGGUGGGUGUUUGUGCGCAGGUGCAUGUGUGUGUCCAUGCAUGUGUGUGUGUGUGUCAGGGGGUGGAGAGUGCUUCAGGGUGCUGUGGGGUGUGUGUUGGCCUCUUAAGCCUCUGGUCCUUCGCUGCUCUGGAGAUUUCAGUGGAUUUCUGCUUCAGAUUAAAGCAGACCAAAACAACUCCACAGGAAAACAAUUCCGGAGCAGGACGGAACACACAGAACAGUGUUCAGCCCUUUGGACCGCUGGGUUUCUGACUGACGACACACCAUCCCACACACGGCAGAACAUGGCUCACUAAACAACGAAGGCCUAUUGGAUAGCGAAAGGUGUUGAGGCAGAGUUGGCGCAAAGAGAAGAGCAUAAAGCUAUAAGAAGAGGACGACAACGGAGCAAGGCGUUGAGAGGCGGAACGGGAGAGAGCAGGAAAGUUGUGGAGAGGAAGGAAAGAAGGAGUUUGUCCACUCUUCUCCUGGUUGUCCCAUCAGUGGAGGUCUAGCCUUGACUCCGGUAUCUCUAGUUUUCUCCAGAACAAGCCAAUUGUCAAACGGGAAUACGGUGUCAGGGACUCGUCUGGUACCGCGAGUCUCGUAGGUUGCUACCUCUCUGGGCUGGACGGACAUUGACAGAAGCCUCCUGUUGUGUGUUGACCUAUCAGCUGGUUGGGGAUAUCUCUCUCUCUGAGCUGCUGGGAGUACAGGUGUAUACCGAAAGUCUCUGGU